RNAcentral lists this ribosomal RNA (231 nucleotides) under uncultured Absidia. RNAcentral's name for it is "partial 18S ribosomal RNA". It matches the Rfam family "Eukaryotic small subunit ribosomal RNA", at positions 113 to 348 of the family's 1831-position model. The record is from RNAcentral. Lineage: Eukaryota; Fungi; Mucoromycota; Mucoromycetes; Mucorales; Mucoraceae.
AGGACUACACGGCAUCAAAUCUACCACCUGGUAUAACCGUGGUAAUUCUAUAGCUAAUACAUGCGAGAGAAAUGGCGACUUCGGAAGCCAUGCAGUUAUUAGAUACAAGCACACACUUGGGGUAAAACCCAGUCUUGGUGACUCAUAGUAACAUGCCGAUCGAGAUUGUGUCGACAGCACGUUUGAUUUUCUGCCCUAUCAUGGCUCUGUGUACGGUAGUGGCGUACACUG